Enhydra lutris kenyoni (northern sea otter) is the source of this 911-nucleotide long non-coding RNA. RefSeq lists it as uncharacterized. The transcript is spliced from 3 exons. Lineage: Eukaryota; Metazoa; Chordata; Mammalia; Carnivora; Mustelidae. The record is from RefSeq and is a predicted model, not a curated record.
GUGCCUGAGAGUUCCACUUUCUGACUUCACCAGCACUGGAUAGGGCCUCCUCCCGGAGUGGUUCAGCUAGCCAGUUGGCAUCAGAAGAGCACCGUUUGGAAGGGAGUGUGUGUGGGCUGCCUGCAGGGCCAAACAGCCAUGAAGAGCUCCAGGCGGGCCCAGGAAGGAGACAGAGAUUGGCUGCCGUCCAGUUGAGCUGGCUCACAAGAAGUUCAGCUUCCUUGUCCUCUCACAGACAGUCCCUUCCAUGCUGACCUUUGACUAGCCUGCAGGGCUCUCGCGCCCUAACCCUGCUGCCUCUUUGCCCACACUCUUCCUCUUCCCCACACUGUUGGUACUUCUUGGAAGAGGGAAAAAGCCUGAGGAAAAAGGGCUGGGGAGAGGAAAAGUGAAAGUCCUAACUCUCGAGCCUCUAAGGAUUUUCUCCCUGUCCUUGAUAGGAGACAUAGUGUUAAUUUAAAAGGAUGUCAAUGUAUGACAUGCGAAAUUUGCAAAAAUAUGGAGAAUUUAGCGUGCUCUAUGUAUUAGGGUAAUUUACAAGCCUCAGAAGAACAUGCUAGCCCUUCUGCAAAUAUCCCAUAGUCUUUUUUAAACUCCGUAUUUAAUCAAACUUUUUGCAGACGGUUUGCUUCCUUUUUGUAACUAUUAUCAGUAGUUCUGUUGUAGGGGAAUAGAUUUAAGGAAAAAUUGCAGUGCAUAUAGACAAUGAUCAAGUAGCUUAUAAAUUUUAAUGCCAAAGACUUUGAAAAUGCAAAUGAUUUUUUUCAUAAUUAUUUGAUUAAUUUUGAAAGAGACCCAAACAAUAUAUAACACCUUCUAUACUGGGUUUAAGAUUUAAGAAAGAGGUAAAUUAUAUGGAGCAAAAAUUGUAAAAUUACCUUUAUCAUUGCAAAAGUAAACAUUUGAUUGUA